AUGCACAAGCUCAUAAAUGUUCAUUAUUUGGACAAGAAGACAUUUAUGCUUGGAAAUGAUGAUGAAGGCGAAGAGGCUAUGGUUUUUGGUACAAGUCCAAGCUUUGAUGAUCUUGUAGUUAAAGUGAGAAGCGUCUUACAUUGGAAUGACCCAAAUGCCGAGAUUAAGCUUAUUGGUAGGUAUGCCGUUGGAUUGGGAGUAAAGUCCCGAUUAAAGAGUAUGUCCAUCACCUCCCAAUUGCAUUGGAAUGUGUACAAGGACAAAGUUGAUGCAUCACAAGACAAGUCUCUUGAGAUAUUUUCCACAAAGGUUGAUCCUCCUCCUCCCUUGCAAAUUGAUUUGAACCGCAAUGUAUCCUCCCUAAUACAUGAUGAUACUGCCGAGGUGUAUAUCCCCAAUUGUUCUAGCCAACCACCAAGUAGCCAACCCACAAUGAAGAUCAUAUCAAUGCUAGCACCAUAG
This 462-nucleotide ribosomal RNA is filed under the name Triticum aestivum (bread wheat). RNAcentral's name for it is "partial small subunit ribosomal RNA". The record is from RNAcentral. Lineage: Eukaryota; Viridiplantae; Streptophyta; Magnoliopsida; Poales; Poaceae.